UGUAAAUGCAACCAUAAAUUUUCAUGUCUAAUUUUGAUCAUCCGUUUUAUUUAAUUUUUUUAUGAUUAGUAUUUUUAAUGUUAUUAGAUUAUAAAAUAUGAAUAUUAUUUUAUGUGUGACUUAUGUUUUUUAUUAUUUUUUUAAAAUUUUUUUAAAUAAGACAUACGAUUAAAUUUGGAUACGGAAACAUAUGGCUGCGUUUAAA
MicroRNA precursor from Oryza sativa Japonica Group (Japanese rice), 205 nucleotides. It matches the Rfam family "MIR812 microRNA precursor family". The record is from Rfam. NCBI's taxonomy places the organism in Eukaryota, Viridiplantae, Streptophyta, Magnoliopsida, Poales, Poaceae.